Molecule: long non-coding RNA, 413 nt
Filed under: Chloebia gouldiae (Gouldian finch)
Lineage: Eukaryota; Metazoa; Chordata; Aves; Passeriformes; Passeridae
Description: Erythrura gouldiae (Gouldian finch) lncRNA (ENSEGOG00005006783.1)
Source: RNAcentral
CCUUACUACAACCACCCCCUCCCCUCUGCAGGCUGCCCUGCCAGAGCCCCUCCUCUGGCAAGAAAAGGGGAGUUGAAAUAGUGAGCUCCUGCUUUGUGAAGGAAAUUUUCUUUCAGUGCCUUGCUCAGAGGAUCAUCAGAGAAGUUAAGUUAUGGACCUUCCUGUUUUGCAGAAUGUGCAGGACACAGUGCAUCUUACUUCCCCAAAAGAGCUAGAUACAGCUACAGGUAUUCAACAGUCACCAACACAUUCCUGCAGGGAAAUAGUUACAAAAGCAGUGGCAUUUCUCUGGAGAGCACAGUGAUCAUUGAAGUCCUGGGGAAUUGCCAGAUGGUUUUGAAAGUGCAAGAUGUACAGAUUAAGAAAAGUUUUGCAUCCAGAGAGGAGUCUCUGAUGGAAAUGGACAGUCUAAG